Molecule: ribosomal RNA, 480 nt
Filed under: uncultured bacterium
Lineage: Bacteria
Description: bacterial SSU rRNA
Rfam family: Bacterial small subunit ribosomal RNA
Source: RNAcentral
UCAGGAUGAACGCUGGCGGCGUGCUUAACACAUGCAAGUCGAGCGAAGUUAUUGAGCUUGCUUAAUAAACUUAGCGGCGGACGGGUGAGUAACGCGUGGGUAACCUGCCCUGUACAGAGGAAUAACAGUUAGAAAUGACUGCUAAUGCCUCAUAAGCCGACGGAAUGGCAUCUUUUUGUCGGAAAAGAUUUAUCGGGUACAGGAGGGACCCGCGUCUGAUUAGCUAGUUGGUGAGGUAACGGCCCACCAAGGCGACGAUCAGUAGCCGACCUGAGAGGGUGAUCGGCCACAUUGGAACUGAGACACGGUCCAAACUCCUACGGGAGGCAGCAGUGGGGAAUAUUGCACAAUGGGGGAAACCCUGAUGCCAGCAACGCCGCGUGAAGGAAGAAGUAUUUCGGUAUGUAAACUUCUAUCGACAGGGAAGAUAAUGACGGUACCUGAAUAAGGAGCACCGGCUAAAUACGUGCCAGCCGCAGC